UCAGUUCCAGACAUAACAUCUGGCAGGGUGUAUUACGGCAGAUACGCUGCCAUCCCGACAGUCUAUCGGCGGGAUGACAGCGUGUCUGUUAGCCUGAAAGAUGACGCGUAUAACUAAAAAGGCCGCAUAGCGGCCUUUUUUCUUUUAAGUAUGGGAUAGCCACCGUAAAAUCACGCUACCUCUUUUCAGCUGAAUGGAUAAC
Molecule: small RNA, 202 nt
Filed under: Salmonella bongori
Lineage: Bacteria; Pseudomonadati; Pseudomonadota; Gammaproteobacteria; Enterobacterales; Enterobacteriaceae
Description: Enterobacterial sRNA STnc540
Rfam family: Enterobacterial sRNA STnc540
Source: RNAcentral